Molecule: RNA transcript, 2205 nt
Organism: Selaginella moellendorffii
Lineage: Eukaryota; Viridiplantae; Streptophyta; Lycopodiopsida; Selaginellales; Selaginellaceae
Exons: 10
Source: RefSeq, a predicted model, not a curated record
AAGCCGCCCGCGCGGCGCGGCUCCAUCAGCAAGAUCAGCCAGAAGACGCUGGAGGAGCGCCUGGAUUUCACGCGCAAGCCGGUGCAUUCCUUUCACGAGGCGCUGCUCCGCCUCCUCCCGCCCACGGCGCGGCAGAAGACGCCGCGGCUCAUCAGGUCGGCGCCGUCGUCCGAGGUGAAAUCGCUGGGGCAGCGCGAGUGCCACUGCGACCAGCGAUCGCACAAGCGCAGGGCGGGUAGCGACGACAAAGUGGUGAGGUGCAUUUGCGCCGACGAGGAGGGCAGCGGCGAGGACAGGAAGCCAUCCUCCUGCGCUGCGAAUUUCCGGUCCUCGGCAGUGUACUGUGAGGUGCACACACUUGCUUUUGGGUGAAACUCGCCGAGCUUCUCAAGGAGCGGGAGAGCGAGCCUGGAAUUCCGGAUGUGCACAGAACUGCUGUAUGCUGGGAGAUUUUCAACGAGAUAUGCAAACUAAGCAUGCCCUUUUCUCGAGUUCUGUCUCAUAUAAAAGACGAGCUUCAGCAUGCCAUCUUCAGCCAUUAUGUCGUCCCACCCGGUACUACACCGACGUUUGAACAGCUGCCGUACUUUGAGAUCGUUAAUAGACUGCAAGGAAAGAACAAGGAGUUGGAGGAGCAACAUCAGAAAUGGAGAGAAGAGCUCCAAGCAAGGCAGGCCGACAUUCUCCGUAUUGAAGAGCACAUACAGGUUUUGAGGGACCAGAUAAAGGCAGCAGAAGCUGUUAGCAAUGACUUGCAAACUAAGCUAAACACCACGAUAAGCCUGUUGGAAGCCGCGAAAUCGAAGGUGAAAAUAUUGCAUGGUAAGUCGAGGGUUUUGAAGAAAGACUUGAAGAAAGCAAGAGUGCUGGUUCUGGAAGCUCGGGAGAUAGCAUACGAGAAGGAUGUCGAGAAGCAAAAGCACGAGAAGCUACGAGCUCAGUACUCCCAACUGGUCCACGAGUUGCAACACACGCAGUCCUUCCUUGAAUCUGCACGUGUGGAAGCGUCUGACAGCGUGCCGAAGACUGUAUAUUGCGCAGCAAAGGUUGAAAUGCUAGAAUUGGAAGGCAAGCUUUCGGAGACGCAAGCUGAGAUCGACGAGAUUGCCAACAAAGUUAAUCAAAUGACUCCGAGACCGCAGUGGGGGCAGCUUUCAGGGAAAACAACAACGUGGCGAGCAACCACCGCAGAGCAAGUGUCCGCCAUUUGCAGGGAGAAUGCCCUGCUGUCCGAUCAACUUUCAUGCCUAGAGCUCGAGUGGACUGCAGCACAAGUUGCUCUCUCGGAGCUUACGCUGAAGCUGGGACCGGUCGACGCCGAGAAACCGGAAAAGAAAAAGGAUAAGAAGGGUGGAAAGAAAGACAAGAAGAAGAAGAAGAAGUGAAGCUGUUCUGGUUUCCUCUCGGGGUGGCAAACAAAUUCGGGUUCCGCUAGCAAUCUUCUGCCACAGUUUCCAACAAGACAAAAACGCGGAGACCUCAGCAGCGCAGUGAAUCGAGAGGAAAGGGCCACCUCAAUUAUUGCGUGCGGAUUGGAUUCAUCUCGUAGUAACGUCAGAAUCUUCAAUGUGGGAGAGAACGAUCGGUUUUGUCGCUCUAAGAACACGUCCUGUACACUUGACGGCACGCUACUACUCUACGGCGACGUCAUGCGAUGAAAUACUGAAUCGGAGUGGUCUCCUUCCAUGAACAAUGCUCCUGGGAAAGAGGAGGAAGACAACACUCGUGACAAGACGCAUGAAGCAACGAGAGUGAUCAACGCCAGCGAAGUCGAUCACACACGACUUGGACUCGACGAGCAGUCCAUGAUCGACAGCCAGACAGGCUUUGAUUCAAACGAAGAGAAAGCGACGAGACAAUCGUUACCAGAGAAGGAGACGAUGAAGAGAUCAUCGCUCCAAUCAUACAGAUCAUCGGUUCCUCCAUCGAUCAUCGCUGGUACGUUUGCUAUUGAGCUAUGGUACGACCAGCGAGGGGCCAAAGCAGGGGACCACGAGAGAGUUAAAAGUCAAGGAAUGGCAAGCGCUUCUUCGAUCUUCGUACCAAGUGCCCGCGUACGUUAUUCGAGCCCGCUUUUGUUUUUGCCCGCCACGCUCGAGACGCAUCGCAUACAAGUAUUUUAACCCGUGGAAGUGUCACAAACCUUGGGACCCAUGGGUUUUGCUUUGGUUUGAUUUUUUCCAAUCCACCUUUGGCUUUUUCUCA